AACAUGUCCUGGAUCGAGGUGCAG
RNAcentral lists this non-coding RNA (24 nucleotides) under Cricetulus griseus (Chinese hamster). The record is from RNAcentral. Lineage: Eukaryota; Metazoa; Chordata; Mammalia; Rodentia; Cricetidae.